UACGUAGGGUGCGAGCGUUGUCCGGAAUUAUUGGGCGUAAAGAGCUCGUAGGCGGUUUGUCACGUCUGCUGUGAAAUCCCGAGGCUCAACCUCGGGCCUGCAGUGGGUACGGGCAGACUGGAGUGCGGUAGGGGAGAAUGGAAUUCCUGGUGUAGCGGUGGAAUGCGCAGAUAUCAGGAGGAACACCGAUGGCGAAGGCAGUUCUCUGGGCCGUAACUGACGCUGAGGCGCGAAAGGUAGGGGAGCAAACAGG
This 253-nucleotide ribosomal RNA is filed under the name uncultured bacterium. Its description in RNAcentral is "partial 16S ribosomal RNA". It matches the Rfam family "Bacterial small subunit ribosomal RNA", at positions 524 to 776 of the family's 1533-position model. The record is from RNAcentral.